AAGUGAGAUAUACACAACCAAAACAUAAAUAAGUCUAGGUGUAGUCCAACAGGAUGAUUACUAAUUAACAACGCCUAAAGGUGAUCCUGCAUUUGUGGUGAAUUGUCAGAACCUCCGCUAAGCCCUCGUAAUCCACCAACGAACUCUUACCUAGAACCUGGAGGGGCGAAAACCAAACGCCCACUCACUGAUAAGUCGAAGGGUCGUAGCCCCCGAGCCUCAAUUGAUGGCGCUCGUCCUCUGGAUGGGUCUUACCUAUAUACGAAAUAACUAAAUAAACGUUAUUUUAAGUACACAGACAAAACUAGUUAAUAACUUCUCAUACAAUGCUCA
This 333-nucleotide long non-coding RNA is filed under the name Malus domestica (apple). RNAcentral describes it as "long non-coding RNA (MDOM_LNC008854)". The record is from RNAcentral. Lineage: Eukaryota; Viridiplantae; Streptophyta; Magnoliopsida; Rosales; Rosaceae.